UGGGGAAUUUUGCACAAUGGGGGAAACCCUGAUGCAGCGACGCCGCGUGAUUUAGAAGGCCUUCGGGUUGUAAAAAUCUUUUCUAUGGGAAGAAAAUGACAGUACCAUAGGAAUAAGGACUGGCUAAUAACGUGCCAGCAGCCGCGGUAAUACGUAAGGUCCGAGCGUUGUCCGGAAUCAUUGGGCGUAAAGGGUACGUAGGCGGGUAAGCAAGUUAGAAGUGAAAUCCUGUAGCUCAACUACAGUAAGCUUUUAAAACUGCUCAUCUUGAGAUAUGGAAGGGAAAGUGGAAUUCCUAGUGUAGCGGUGAAAUGCGCAGAUAUUAGGAGGAAUACCGGUGGCGAAGGCGACUUUCUGGCCAUAAUCUGACGCUGAGGUACGAAAGCGUGGGUAGCAAACAGG
This 402-nucleotide ribosomal RNA is filed under the name Verrucomicrobiota bacterium. RNAcentral's name for it is "Verrucomicrobia bacterium partial 16S ribosomal RNA". It matches the Rfam family "Bacterial small subunit ribosomal RNA", at positions 355 to 776 of the family's 1533-position model. Lineage: Bacteria; Pseudomonadati; Verrucomicrobiota. The record is from RNAcentral.